RNAcentral lists this microRNA precursor (59 nucleotides) under Limulus polyphemus (Atlantic horseshoe crab). RNAcentral's name for it is "Lpo-Mir-252-P1c_pre stem-loop". Lineage: Eukaryota; Metazoa; Arthropoda; Merostomata; Xiphosura; Limulidae. The record is from RNAcentral.
CUAAGUAGUGGUGCCGCAGGUAAUAAUGGUAAUGUUUACUUGCACACAACUGCUUAAUA